This 490-nucleotide ribosomal RNA is filed under the name uncultured bacterium. RNAcentral describes it as "bacterial SSU rRNA". It matches the Rfam family "Bacterial small subunit ribosomal RNA", at positions 24 to 518 of the family's 1533-position model. The record is from RNAcentral.
UCAGGACGAACGGCUGGCGGCGACUGCCGUAACAACACUAGCAAGUCGAACGGACGAGGGUAGCAAUACCCGAGUUAGUAGGCGAACGGGUGAGUAACACGUGAGCAACCUGCCCUUUACACUGGGAUAGCAGUUGGAAACGACUGAUAAUACCGGAUAAGACCACGCUCCCGCAUGGGAGAGGGGUCAAAGCGAUUUAGCGGUAAAGGAUGGGCUCGCGUCCAAUUAGCUAGUUGGUGAGGUAACGGCCCACCAAGGCGACGAUUGGUAGCCGACUUGAGAGAGUGAUCGGCCACACUGGAACUGAGACACGGUCCAGACUCCUACGGGAGGCAGCAGUGGGGAAUAUUGGGCAAUGGAGGAAACUCUUACCCAGCCAAUGCCGCGUGAGGGAUGGAGGUCCUAUGGAUUGUAAACCUCUUUGAUUAGGGACAAAGAAAGUGAUGGUACCUAAAGAACAAGCCCCGGCUAACUAUGUGCCAGCCGCUGC